CUUGAAGAGCACCAAAAAAGCCGAAGCAAAUAGACCUACUGUGCCCCCUUGUUCUUCUCUCUCUCUCUCUCAAGGAUUCACCAUUUAGAUCGAGCCAAAGAUGUUCCUCACAAGGACCGAGUAUGACCGAGGAGUGAACACUUUCUCUCCUGAAGGCAGAUUGUUUCAGGUUGAAUAUGCUAUUGAAGCCAUUAAGGUAAUCUAAACCCUCCCCUAAAAACCCUCUUUGUUUACAUUGGAAGUUUUCUUUCUUGGAAAAUUUUCGCUAUCCGCAAUAGAUGUUUAACCUUUUAUUAAUUUCAUUUGCCUAAAACAGUUUUCCUUGGGAUUAUUUCAACUGGGUUAUAAACGAUUAGUCGUUUUUUAUUCCAUUAACGUGUUAAUUUUUAUUUUUAACGAUGAUAGACAUGAUUGGCUACGAUUAAUUGUGAUGUUAUCUAUAAUACUCGAAGGCAUUAUUGGGACAUCAGGAACGCACUUGUGCCCCUCUUCUAACCCACUGGCCAACAGCUUACCUAUCGCCCCCUCACCCUCCCCAUCCCAUCCCAACCCAGAAAAAGAAAGGGAUUGUUACUGAAGUCAAGCAGAUGCUUAGCUGAUUAAAAAUAACAUGUUUUAUUUUAAUUACAGCUAGGUUCAACUGCAAUUGGGUUAAAGACAAAAGAAGGUGUUGUGCUUGCAGUUGAGAAGCGUAUCACUUCACCACUGCUGGUUUGCCUUUUUCUCCUUAUGUCUUUUUAUUCAUAUGAAAUGCAUGCCAUUUACAGCUUUAAUAUGAUUAAGUAAACCCACAAUAUUGUCAGCCUGAGUUGUGAAUCCUUUUUUUUUUUUUAAACUUCAUCUGUAAUGGUUUUGAUACCGUGCAUUCCAUUUGUAUCUAGUUACUUAUUGGGGCAAAUUUGACAUUAGAUCCAUAUGGUAGCAUGCAUUCAAAACUUUCACUGAAGUGGCAUUCCUCUAUAUUUUUUUUGCUAGAGAAACUUCUAUUUUGACAAUUUAUCAAAACUCCAUCAAUAUUGGUACAAGUGUAGAACUUUCAUGAUUUGCAUGUUUAUCUGUUUGAAACUUGUUCUAACUGAUUCAGGCAUUCAGCAUGACUAAUUUGUGUGCACUACAUCAUGGAAAUUGAUGUGUCAUAGUUGUUGUGGAUCGCAAUUUGUUAGUGUCAUUAUUUCUUUUCAAUUCUCUUUCAGGAGCCCAGUAGUGUGGAAAAGGUUAUGGAAAUUGAUGAGCAUAUUGGAUGUGCUAUGAGUGGAUUAAUUGCAGAUGCUCGUACACUUGUUGAGCAUGCACGUGUGGAAACUCAGAACCAUAGAUUCUCGUAUGGUGAGCCCAUGACAGUGGAGUCUACAACCCAAGCACUCUGUGAUCUGGCUUUGCGAUUUGGUGAAGGCGAUGAAGAAUCCAUGGUACAGCAUUUUCACUCACUGAAAAUUUUAAUAAUUCAUUUCUGCCUGUUUCAUUUCUUUGUGAAAUGCUCAGAAAAUAAUGACUAUCAUUCAUUCAAUAACCUUCACUUGCAUAAUACCAUUUACAUAACAAUGUAAAAUGGUUAUUUAUUUCUCUUUUUUAUUUUUUUUCAUUGUUCUGUGCUUCUUUUUGCCAAUAAUUUCUGCGAUUCCAUCAUGAAGUUCAGUAUCAGUUGCAUGGAUGCAUCUUUCAAAUCCAUUUUUGCAAUGAUGGUCAUUGUCUAGUCUAGUGUCGGGGACAGGGAUGAUCUUCUGGGGGUAAGGAACAGUAGUUAACAAUGGUUAGAAUCUGUUUUGUAAUGGAUUCACAAUCGAGUGAAUUAGGUACUGAUAUAAUUGUGCUAUGAGCCAUUGUAGAGACAAUACAAGAAUUCAAUACAACCUCUUUCUAAAUUCUUCUUCUCCUCUCUCCGAAAUCUUCCCUUUCUUCUUGUCUCUCACUCGUCCUCUUUUUUCCCUUCUUUCUCACUUUUCCUCUCUUUCUCGCUGUCCAAACACCUUAAUCUAGUCACCAGAAUCCUGGGGAUUAACCGCAAGAUAUUUUUAAUAUUGGAAAUUUUAGAAAUCUUUGUUUGUCAACAGCUGUUAGGGCUGCUAUCAGUUCUAUGCAGCUAUCAAUUUUCAAUUAAAUUGUAUUGAAAUUAUAUCAUACCAGUUAGUUCUACCAUCUUUUAGAAAGUUAUAGAAGCAAGUUUCUAUACUUGCUCCUUUGCUGUGCAAAUAAAAGUAAAACAACAUUCAUGUAGUUAUGUGCUGUUAAAUCGUGGAUAUAUCACAUUUUUACACUCAUGUUAUUUGCUUUUGAUUUAUGGUUAUCUUAUUUCUUUGCAGUCUCGUCCAUUUGGGGUGUCACUUCUCAUUGCUGGUCAUGAUGAGAAUGGUCCUAGCCUGUAUUAUACAGAUCCAUCUGGCUCAUUUUGGCAAUGCAAUGCAAAGGCUAUUGGUUCAGGAUCAGAGGGUGCAGAUAGCUCUUUGCAAGAGCAAUACAACAAGGUAUUGAUACUUACACUCUCAUGGGCCUUUUCUUCCUCCAUCCCCUUCCCAAUGCUGAAUAACUUGGUAGCUCCAUGAGUGGCUCAAAAUGAAUGUCACACUUCAAUGUGGUCACCUGUGCUAAAUACGAUGGUUUGCCAUCUGUGCUAAUAUUAGAAGUCAGUAAGAUUUUUCCACCAUCUCAUGUACGUUUGAUUUGAUUUCUGAUGUGAUGAUGUAACUUGCUAAUUUGUGCAGGACAUGACUCUUCAAGAGGCUGAGGCAAUUGCACUUUCCAUUCUGAAGCAAGUUAUGGAAGAAAAGGUAAAAGUUAUACUGUUUACCUACAUUGGAUCUCAAUCUCAACAUUAUGCAUAUGAUUUAUCAUUUAAUGCUUUAAAUUAUUUAUUCAUUUAGCAUCACCGAUGGAAAUAUACUAUCAUAUAUUGCCUCUACAUUAAAUUUUCACCAACUAAAUCGUGCUAUUGAUUUCAGGUGACUCCCAACAAUGUUAACAUUGCAAGGGUGGCUCCAACAUAUCAUUUGUAUACCCCUGCAGAGGUGGAGACCAUCAUUAGUCGCUUAUAAGAAGAAAAAACAAUGUCGUGAAAUUUCCUUCGACAUGAUUUUUAUUCCGAUUUCUUGCCUAAACUGCUUGUCUCCUUAUUAGUUGGGAAAGCAGAGGAUUGGAAUUCAACACAA
RNAcentral lists this unclassified non-coding RNA (3143 nucleotides) under Hevea brasiliensis (rubber tree). Lineage: Eukaryota; Viridiplantae; Streptophyta; Magnoliopsida; Malpighiales; Euphorbiaceae. The record is from RNAcentral.